This 422-nucleotide RNase P RNA is filed under the name Acetobacter sp. RNAcentral's name for it is "RNase P RNA component class A". It matches the Rfam family "Bacterial RNase P class A". From Rfam's summary of the family: Ribonuclease P (RNase P) is a ubiquitous endoribonuclease, found in archaea, bacteria and eukarya as well as chloroplasts and mitochondria. Its best characterised activity is the generation of mature 5'-ends of tRNAs by cleaving the 5'-leader elements of precursor-tRNAs. The record is from RNAcentral. Lineage: Bacteria; Pseudomonadati; Pseudomonadota; Alphaproteobacteria; Acetobacterales; Acetobacteraceae.
CCAGACGGUCGGACGGUCGCUGCCUUUCCGCAAGGAAGGGGGGAGGAAAGUCCGGGCUCCACGGAAGAACGGUGCCGGCUAACUGCCGGCGAGGGUGACCUCAGGGAAAGUGCCACAGAAAACAAACCACCUUCCGGCUUCUCUGCCGCAGGAAACUGCGUUUUUGAAGUGAAGGUAAGGGUGAAACGGUGCGGUAAGAGCGCACCGCGCUUCUGGUAACAGCGGCGGCAGGGCAAACCCCACCGGGAGCAAGACCGAAUAGGGACGACAGGAAACGGGCCACGGCCUGAUUUCCGGGGGGUCUUCCGCCCUGUCGUCCGGGUUGGUCGCGUGAGGCGUGUUGCAAGACACGUCCCAGAGGAAUGACCGUCGCGGUCCGUUAUGGACCCGUACAGAACCCGGCUUACAGACCGUCUGGCAUC